RNAcentral lists this ribosomal RNA (22 nucleotides) under Haemophilus influenzae. Its description in RNAcentral is "23S ribosomal RNA". The record is from RNAcentral. Lineage: Bacteria; Pseudomonadati; Pseudomonadota; Gammaproteobacteria; Pasteurellales; Pasteurellaceae.
AGUUAAGUGACUAAGCGUACGA